RNAcentral lists this long non-coding RNA (245 nucleotides) under Phascolarctos cinereus (koala). RNAcentral describes it as "lncRNA (ENSPCIG00000006111.2)". Lineage: Eukaryota; Metazoa; Chordata; Mammalia; Diprotodontia; Phascolarctidae. The record is from RNAcentral.
CUACAUUUGGCUGAGCUUCUGCCAUCUUUCUGCUGAGCUGCUUUCUGUCAGUAAGACUCGACACACUGUCAUAACAGCCUUCUUCAGGUGAAGACAAUCAAAAACUCUAAGACUUACAGAUGGUGUGAGGAUAGCACCUGGUGGACCUCUUUCCUGACAUAAUUGGAAGGAUUGCAAGAUCAAGGGAAAAGAAGGAAGCAAGGCAGCAGAUAAAAGAUGGAGAGAGAGUACACUAUGUUCUGGGA